This 61-nucleotide transfer RNA is filed under the name Bradyrhizobium erythrophlei. Its description in RNAcentral is "tRNA_Met_CAT". It matches the Rfam family "tRNA", at positions 9 to 71 of the family's 71-position model. Rfam says of the family: Transfer RNA (tRNA) molecules are approximately 80 nucleotides in length. Lineage: Bacteria; Pseudomonadati; Pseudomonadota; Alphaproteobacteria; Hyphomicrobiales; Nitrobacteraceae. The record is from RNAcentral.
UGAGUGGCCGCUCGUCAGGCUCAUAACCUGAAGGUCAUAGGUUCAAAUCCUAUCCCCACAA